ACUCAAAGGAAUUGACGGGGGCCCGCACAAGCAGCGGAGCAUGUGGUUUAAUUCGAAGCAACGCGAAGAACCUUACCAGGUCUUGACAUCGAGGCAAAGCCGUAGAGAUACGGUGUUCAGCAAUGAGGCCGAAGACAGGUGGUGCAUGGUUGUCGUCAGCUCGUGUCGUGAGAUGUUGGGUUAAGUCCCGCAACGAGCGCAACCCUUAUUGUCAGUUACUAACGGGUAAAGCCGAGGACUCUGACGAGACUGCCGGGGACAACUCGGAGGAAGGUGGGGACGACGUCAAAUCAUCAUGCCCCUUAUGACCUGGGCUACACACGUGCUACAAUGGUGGUAACAGAGAGGCGCGAGCUCGCAAGGGGGAGCGGAUCUCAAAAAAGCCAUCUCAGUUCGGAUUGUGGGCUGCAACCCGCCCACAUGAAGUUGGAGUUGCUAGUAAUCGCGGAUCAGCAUGCCGCGGUGAAUACGUUCCCGGGCCUUGUACACACCGCCCGU
This 498-nucleotide ribosomal RNA is filed under the name uncultured bacterium. RNAcentral describes it as "bacterial SSU rRNA". It matches the Rfam family "Bacterial small subunit ribosomal RNA", at positions 899 to 1397 of the family's 1533-position model. The record is from RNAcentral.